Molecule: ribosomal RNA, 451 nt
Filed under: uncultured bacterium
Lineage: Bacteria
Description: partial 16S ribosomal RNA
Rfam family: Bacterial small subunit ribosomal RNA
Source: RNAcentral
GUGGGGAAUAUUGCGCAAUGGGGGCAACCCUGACGCAGCGACGCCGCGUGAGUGAGGAAGGCCUUCGGGUCGUAAAGCUCUGUCAAGAGGGAAGAAGUGCAUGGUGGUUAAUAUCUGUCAUGUUUGACGGUACCUCUAAAGGAAGCACCGGCUAACUCCGUGCCAGCAGCCGCGGUAAUACGGAGGGUGCAAGCGUUGUUCGGAAUCACUGGGCGUAAAGGGCGCGCAGGCGGCCUGAUCAGUCAGAUGUGAAAGCCCACGGCUUAACUGUGGAAGUGCAUUUGAAACUGUCAGGCUUGAGUACCAGAGGGGAAAGUGGAAUUCCCGGUGUAGAGGUGAAAUUCGUAGAUAUCGGGAGGAAUACCGGUGGCGAAGGCGACUUUCUGGCUGGAUACUGACGCUGAGGCGCGAAAGCGUGGGGAGCAAACAGGAUUAGAAACCCCUGUAGUCC